UACGUAGGUCCCGAGCGUUGUCCGGAUUUAUUGGGCGUAAAGCGAGCGCAGGUGGUUUAUUAAGUCUGGUGUAAAAGGCAGUGGCUCAACCAUUGUAUGCAUUGGAAACUGGUAGACUUGAGUGCAGGAGAGGAGAGUGGAAUUCCAUGUGUAGCGGUGAAAUGCGUAGAUAUAUGGAGGAACACCGGUGGCGAAAGCGGCUCUCUGGCCUGUAACUGACACUGAGGCUCGAAAGCAUGGGUAGCGAACAGG
This 252-nucleotide ribosomal RNA is filed under the name uncultured bacterium. RNAcentral describes it as "partial 16S ribosomal RNA". It matches the Rfam family "Bacterial small subunit ribosomal RNA", at positions 524 to 776 of the family's 1533-position model. The record is from RNAcentral.